RNAcentral lists this long non-coding RNA (697 nucleotides) under Equus asinus (donkey). RNAcentral describes it as "lncRNA (ENSEASG00005033473.1)". Lineage: Eukaryota; Metazoa; Chordata; Mammalia; Perissodactyla; Equidae. The record is from RNAcentral.
GGUGUGCAAGGCUGCACGGUGUGCAACAACUGCUGCCAAUGACUGUGAUGUCACUGAGUUGGAAAAGAAAAGAAGAGACACACAGAGAACAUCAUGUGAGGACACAGACACACAGGGAAGACGGCCAUGUGAUGACGGAGGCCGAGAUUGGAGGGAUGUAUCUACAAGCCAAGGAACGCCCAGGAAUGUGGGCAACCCCCGGAAGCUGAGAGAGGCCCGGAAUAGGUUGUUCCUCAGAGCUUGCCACAAGGAAGCAGCCCUGCUGACACCUUGAUCGUGGACUGGUCGCUACCGGAACUGGCCACGCUGAAAGUAUAGACCCCCGAGGGCAAGAUGCUAUCUGUGUAAACGGAGCUGCCUCCUGCUCUUACACACAAGUUGUUUUUGAAGACACGCAGGAAAUCGAAAGCACACUGCUCGCAGCCUGGGGAAGUCCUCCGGCUCCGUCCACCCCGGGGGGCGGGCGUGGGGACCCGCCGAGGGCGCGCCGGGGGCGGCCUGCGCUCGACCCCCGCCGGAGCGUCCCGGGAGACCCAGCGCGUCUGGAGCGCGGACGCGGCCCUCCUCUUCCUCCCUCUCCCUCCGCGGAGUCCCUGGACCCCGAUCCCGGAUUCCCUCCUCCGCAGCUUGGCGCUCUCCCGAGCCGGAGCCGGAGCCCGAGCCGGAGUCGCGGCGCGGCCGGGCCGCCGCGUCAGAG